UUUUAUUGCUUAAUAAUUUAAUAUAUUUGUAACAGCCUAAUUUUGCUUGAUCCAAACAACAAACAAACAAAUAAAUAAACUCUAAAGCCCAAAUACACCAACCCAAUAACCCACAACCUAAACAAAAAAAGACAACCCUAAUUCCUCUAAGCCUCCCGCUGCCACCACUCCUUUGCCUUUGUCACGUCAACAGGCGCAUCGCCUGAGAUCUGCCCUCCUUUCAUCGAAACGGCAAGGCAUGGCUCCCC
This 248-nucleotide long non-coding RNA is filed under the name Gossypium barbadense (sea-island cotton). RNAcentral describes it as "long non-coding RNA (GBAR_LNC018276)". Lineage: Eukaryota; Viridiplantae; Streptophyta; Magnoliopsida; Malvales; Malvaceae. The record is from RNAcentral.